GGAGAUAUAGCUCAGUUGGUAGAGUGCUUGCCUCACAUGCAUAAGGCCCUGGGUUCAAUCCCCAGCACCAUCA
This 73-nucleotide transfer RNA is filed under the name Ictidomys tridecemlineatus (thirteen-lined ground squirrel). RNAcentral's name for it is "Spermophilus tridecemlineatus (thirteen-lined ground squirrel) tRNA". It matches the Rfam family "tRNA". Rfam says of the family: Transfer RNA (tRNA) molecules are approximately 80 nucleotides in length. Their secondary structure includes four short double-helical elements and three loops (D, anti-codon, and T loops). The record is from Rfam by way of RNAcentral. RNAcentral also lists the same sequence under 1 other name. Lineage: Eukaryota; Metazoa; Chordata; Mammalia; Rodentia; Sciuridae.